Molecule: ribosomal RNA, 478 nt
Filed under: uncultured bacterium
Lineage: Bacteria
Description: partial 16S ribosomal RNA
Rfam family: Bacterial small subunit ribosomal RNA
Source: RNAcentral
GAUGAACGCUGGCGGCGUGCCUAACACAUGCAAGUCGAACGGAGUCCAGCCUUUAAGACCUUCGGGUCAAAGAGGGGAAGCCUGAGUGGCGGACGGGUGAGUAACACUUGGGCAACCUGGCUCAUAGAGGGGGAUAACAGAGAGAAAUUUCUGCUAAUACCGCAUAAGCACACACUGCCGCAUGGCAGAGUGGGAAAAGAGAAUCGCUAUGAGAUGGACCCGCGUCUGAUUAGCCAGUUGGCAGGGUAAGAGCCUACCAAAGCGACGAUCAGUAGCCGAUCUGAGAGGAUGAACGGACACAUUGGGACUGAGACACGGCCCAAACUACUACGGGAGGCAGCAGUGGGGGAUAUUGCAAAAUGGGGGGAACCCUGAUGCAGCGACGCCGCGUGAGUGAAGAAGUAUUUCGGUAUGUAAAGCUCUAUCAGCAGGGAAGAUAAUGACAGUACCUGAAUAAGAAGCCCCGGCUAACUACGUG